UAACCCUCAUUCAUGGGACUUUAUUGUCGCAUGAAUGGACUUGGAUGCUGCCGUAGAUGGCUCGUCCCAAAUGAAUUAGCUUUGCGUCUAUUAGCGCGCUCGGCGUGGUGUGAUAGUUAUCUUCGCCCGCCUCAGGCCGCUUCCAAUGGCGUCGCUUCCAACCGUCCCUCGUGGACAAUUUAACACAAAG
This 190-nucleotide unclassified non-coding RNA is filed under the name uncultured Agaricomycetes. RNAcentral describes it as "sequence contains ITS2". The record is from RNAcentral. Lineage: Eukaryota; Fungi; Basidiomycota; Agaricomycetes.